Molecule: non-coding RNA, 2429 nt
Organism: Tetranychus urticae (two-spotted spider mite)
Lineage: Eukaryota; Metazoa; Arthropoda; Arachnida; Trombidiformes; Tetranychidae
Source: RefSeq, a predicted model, not a curated record
GUCAUUUAAUUAUUUCAUACUUUUAAUCAACUGUUAAUCAAAGCAUCAACAUACAAAUAGAAAUGGUUUCAAUGAUAAUAUCGUUCAAAUGACACAAGAUGAAGAUGAGAGUGAGAUGUGAACCUCUCAAGACCUGAAUCUGGUUUAAUUAUAGUGACCAAGCAGUGAAAGAUACACAUUAUAGACAUGGCUCAAGGCUAUUGAACAAGACAACCUGAAGAUAGAAGUGCGCCAAGAAAACGCUCAAACUCUAAGCGCCUUUAACAUUUACUUUGUCCAUAUUAUAUCAAUUUGGAUCCACCAUAAUCAUCGACAUCAUCCACUUUCCCCGCUUCUCUUCUUCACAACAUUCAAAUUAUCCUUUUCACAAUAUUAAUGUUGAAUCUUAAUGAUUCAAAUUAGCUGAUGGAAAAAACACAUUUCUCUCAUCGUGAUUGUCACAAUGGAUUUGCUGUUAAUGGACUUGAAGACAAGAAUAAAACAACUCAAGAGUAAAUAUAGUUAGUGAAAUUAAGGAAACACACAACAAUCAUUCCAUCAUUGUUUUAAUCAACAUUUUUGUUUCUGCAUUGUUAAUUAGCAAACAAAUUUGUCUCCAAAAUGGGAAACAUCACUUUUAACAUCAAGAAUGGAAACCAGCAAGAGCAACCUUAUGUUGGAUGAGAAAGGAUUGCAUUAAUUGUUUACAGUUACAAAUGUUAAAGCUAACAAUCAAUAUGAAAGAAAUCAAAAAUAGGAUUGAAAUGGAAAUCAAAUUGAAAGCGAAUCAGAUUACCGGAUACACUGAAUAAUGGAUUUGAUUGUUUUCUCAAGCAAAGGAUAUUGUCAAUACAAGAUGCUGAUCAACUGAAUGUGUCAAUCAAGGUUAAUUAGUUAAAAAUGGUUGGGCCAUGUUAACAAUUAGUAAACAACUGCCAUCAUUUUGAGGCUCCAUUUGUCAUGUUGAUUGACAAAUUGAUUGGUUAAAUUAGUUGGUAAAUUUUUUGGUAUAUUCCUGUUCCCCCAAUCUUAAGCUUUUGAACAAACAAACGCUAAUUGAAUGAAGGGUUAGCCGUUAGAAAGCGAAAUUUUCUCAAUGACUGUGAACAGAUUUGAACAAAAUCAGAUUCUUUCAGUUCUUUAUUAUUCAGUUAGAUUCCUCUUCAGGUCAGAUUAUGCUAGGUUAUGUUAGCUUAGGCUUAGGAUAAGUCAAGUUAUGUUUUAUGAUGUUAGCUAAGGUUCCGCUUCUACACAAUGCAGUAAAAAAUUAGACUCAAUUUUAAGGAUUUUUUUGCAAUUUUUGUACAGUUCUAUUCUUUGAAUUCGAGCAAAUUUUGUUCAGCAAAGUCGUAAAAGAUUAAAAGAUUGGUGAAACAGGACAGAACCAAAUUAUUUACUCUCUCUCUCCUCAAUGUUAUAUAAUCAACUUACCGUGAAAAACAACUAAAUAGAUUGUUGUCAGGCUUAGAGUGUGAAUUAUCAUGAUGUCUGUUUGUAUUUGUGUAACAGGUAGAUAUCCAAUUAAGAAGUGUAAUAGUAGAAGUUAGUAGAAUACAAUUUAAUUUAAUUAACUUCAAAUGUCCAUUGAUUAUAUUCCGUUGAGGUUAAUUGAGUUGACUGUAAAAACAGUUAAAUCACUUGCACAUUAGAGAAGAAGAAGAAGAGAGAAGAAAAAAAGUUAUUCCUAUUGGUUAUUAUGAUGAUGAUUGUACGAAGGUUGACACUUUUCGCAAAAAGGAUCCAAUUGUACAAGUAAAUGAGGUUUUCAAAGGCAAAUUUUCAUUACCAAUUGUCCAUCAUCAAUUAUCACCAUCAACAGAGAGCUGGUCAAUAAUCAUCACUAACUAGAUUGAUUGGAUAAAAGGCAGAGAGCGAAAAAAGGAAAGGUUCACAUAGAUAAACAUUAGACGAAUUACUGGAUUUCUAAUGUCAACCUGAAGUGAAGUUAGAAGUUGAUUUAAUUUUGCAACCGAAAAGAAAAUUCGCUUCUCAACUUUCGCUCCAAAAGAUGAUGACCCACCUUUGAUAAUGAAGACAAGAUGAAGAGAAGAUGAUGAAAAGAACAAGAAAACAGUUAAAAAGGAGGGAAAAGGAGUAAACCAGAAGGAAAAGAAGAUCAACAUUCACAUAAAACAAAAAACAAGAUGAUGCUCUUUAAACUACUUUCUUCUUCAAAUCAGGUUUACAGUAAACAUGGUAACAUCAUCAUCUAUCUUUAUCUUCUUGCCAUAAUCUUCAUCUUUAUCCGUUCCAUCAUCAUAAUCCUCGUCUUCAUAAUCAAUAUACUCUGGUUGUUAUUACAAGGGAAUCUAGAUUUACCAACAUUUGUAUCGACCAAGAGCAACUUUCGCUAGGAUUUGGCAUUCAUUUUCCGUGGUUGAACUUGAUUGUGCCAAGCGAUUAGAAAAGGUUAUUGAAAUUUAAAUAAACUUGCUUUUAGCUCAAAGAAA